CCUACGGGAGGCAGCAGUGAGGAAUAUUGGUCAAUGGGCGGGAGCCUGAACCAGCCAAGUCGCGUGAGGGAAGACGGUCCUAUGGAUUGUAAACCUCUUUAGGCGGGGAGCAAUGCCGGGCACGUGUGCCCGGAGGGAGAGUACCCGCAGAAUAAGCAUCGGCCAACUCCGUGCCAGCAGCCGCGGUAAUACGGAGGAUGCGAGCGUUAUCCGGAUUUAGUGGGUUUAAAGGGUGCGUAGGCGGAUUUUUAAGUCAGCGGUAAAAUGUCCGGGCUCAACCCGGGCCGGCCGUUGAAACUGGGGAUCUUGAGUGGGCGAGAAGUAUGCGGAAUGCGUGGUGUAGCGGUGAAAUGCAUAGAUAUCACGCAGAACUCCGAUUGCGAAGGCAGCAUACCGGCGCCCGACUGACGCUGAGGCACGAAAGCGUGGGGAUCGAACAGGAUUAGAUACCCUGGUAGUC
This 460-nucleotide ribosomal RNA is filed under the name uncultured bacterium. Its description in RNAcentral is "partial 16S ribosomal RNA". It matches the Rfam family "Bacterial small subunit ribosomal RNA", at positions 338 to 795 of the family's 1533-position model. The record is from RNAcentral.